GACGGAGGAUGCAAGUGUUAUCCGGAAUCACUGGGCGUAAAGCGUCUGUAGGUGGUCAAAUAAGUCAACUGUUAAAUCUUGAGGCUCAACCUCAAAACCGCAGACGAAACUAUUAGACUAGAGUAUAGUAGGGGUAAAGGGAAUUUCCAGUGGAGCGGUGAAAUGCGUAGAGAUUGGAAAGAACACCGAUGGCGAAGGCACUUUACUGGGCUAUGACUAACACUCAGAGACGAAAGCUAGGGUAGCAAAUGGG
Molecule: ribosomal RNA, 253 nt
Filed under: uncultured bacterium
Lineage: Bacteria
Description: partial 16S ribosomal RNA
Rfam family: Bacterial small subunit ribosomal RNA
Source: RNAcentral